RNAcentral lists this ribosomal RNA (420 nucleotides) under Fusobacteriota bacterium. Its description in RNAcentral is "Fusobacteria bacterium partial 16S ribosomal RNA". It matches the Rfam family "Bacterial small subunit ribosomal RNA", at positions 355 to 776 of the family's 1533-position model. Lineage: Bacteria; Fusobacteriati; Fusobacteriota. The record is from RNAcentral.
UGGGGGAUAUUGCACAAUGGGCGAAAGCCUGAUGCAGCGACGCCGCGUGGGGGAUGAAGGCUUUCGGGUUGUAAACCUCUUUCGCUAUCGAACAAGGCCCGCUUAGGGUGGGUUGAGGGUAGGUGGAGAAGAAGCGCCGGCUAACUACGUGCCAGCAGCCGCGGUAAUACGUCGGGCGCGAGCGUUGUCCGGAAUUAUUGGGCGUAAAGGGCUUGUAGGCGGCUUGUUGCGCCUGCUGUGAAAACGCGGGGCUUAACUUCGCGCGUGCAGUGGGUACGGGCAGGAUUGGGGGUGGUAGGGGUGACUGGAAUGCCAGGUGUAGAGGUGGAAUGCGCAGAUAUCUGGAGGAACACCGAUGGCGAAGGCAGGUCUCUGGGCCAUUACUGACGCUGAGGAGCGAAAGCAUGGGUAGCGAACAGG